AUGAAUCUUGAUUCUCUAAUCAACUAUAAUAGCCUAGCCCUAGAUAUACUCAUUAAUAGUAACAGAUUCACUUGAGUUAGUUUAAUUGUGUUGAAGAGCAGAUUUGUUCAUGUUUGUGUCUUAGUGACGUAUUUGUUUUGCUUCUGUAUAAAAUCAAAGACAAUUGAAUUGAUGCACUUUAUUAGCUCUUUAAAAGAUCAACAAUUUUGUGAUUGACAAUGGCCAAAGAACUAGGUUUAUAUGUUUUUUUCCCCAUAUAACUUGUUGUUGAGUCAUGUAAUUAACCUUCUCUUUUUGUUUAUAUGUAUUGUAUUUGUGUUGGGUCAAGUACAAGCUUGUGAUUGAUAUAUGGUUUUUGGCGAAGGAUGUUGGAGUAUUGGACAUAGUCUAUGUUGCAUAGGUACAGGAAAGGUUAUUGAACAAAUAAAAGAAAAGCUUUUACUAUCUGAUCAGGACCUACAUACUAGUAAGUUGGAGCAAGGCUUAUGGUUUAUAACAAUAGACAACUUUUGAAAACCAGUCCAGAUGAAUGGCUAAUGAUGAUAUCGAUGAAGAAUUUCAAGAUUUAGAAGUACAAGAGAUGAAGACAGAUGUUUAUGUUCAAGUGUACGUUAUUUGGAUUGUGAAAAUGAUAAUUGACAUUUUGAGUUAACAAUACCCAAUUAAAUAUUCGAAUACUUUAUUGUGA
Medicago truncatula (barrel medic) is the source of this 688-nucleotide long non-coding RNA. RefSeq lists it as uncharacterized. The record is from RefSeq and is a predicted model, not a curated record. NCBI's taxonomy places the organism in Eukaryota, Viridiplantae, Streptophyta, Magnoliopsida, Fabales, Fabaceae. The transcript is spliced from 3 exons.